ACGGGUGAGUAACACGUGAGCAAUCUGCCCCUGACUCUGGGAUAAGCGCUGGAAACGGCGUCUAAUACCGGAUACGAGCUGCGAAGGCAUCUUCAGCAGCUGGAAAGAAUUUCGGUCAGGGAUGAGCUCGCGGCCUAUCAGCUUGUUGGUGAGGUAACGGCUCACCAAGGCGUCGACGGGUAGCCGGCCUGAGAGGGUGACCGGCCACACUGGGACUGAGACACGGCCCAGACUCCUACGGGAGGCAGCAGUGGGGAAUAUUGCACAAUGGGCGAAAGCCUGAUGCAGCAACGCCGCGUGAGGGACGACGGCCUUCGGGUUGUAAACCUCUUUUAGCAGGAAAGAAGCGAAAGUGACGGUACCUGCAGAAAAAGCGCCGGCUAACUACGUGCCAGCAGCCGCGGUAAUACGUAGGGCGCAAGCGUUAUCCGGAAUUAUUGGGCGUAAAGAGCUCGUAGGCGGUCUGUCGCGUCUGCUGUGAAAACCCGAGGCUCAACCUCGGGCCUGCAGUGGGUACGGGCAGACUAGAGUGCGGUAGGGGAGAUUGGAAUUCCUGGUGUAGCGGUGGAAUGCGCAGAUAUCAGGAGGAACACCGAUGGCGAAGGCAGAUCUCUGGGCCGUAACUGACGCUGAGGAGCGAAAGGGUGGGGAGCAAACAGGCUUAGAUACCCUGGUAGUCCACCCCGUAAACGUUGGGAACUAGUUGUGGGGUCCAUUCCACGGAUUCCGUGACGCAGCUAACGCAUUAAGUUCCCCGCCUGGGGAGUACGGCCGCAAGGCUAAAACUCAAAGGAAUUGACGGGGACCCGCACAAGCGGCGGAGCAUGCGGAUUAAUUCGAUGCAA
RNAcentral lists this ribosomal RNA (845 nucleotides) under Microbacterium sp. RNAcentral describes it as "bacterial SSU rRNA". It matches the Rfam family "Bacterial small subunit ribosomal RNA", at positions 102 to 959 of the family's 1533-position model. The record is from RNAcentral. Lineage: Bacteria; Bacillati; Actinomycetota; Actinomycetes; Micrococcales; Microbacteriaceae.